Molecule: long non-coding RNA, 1467 nt
Organism: Dendroctonus ponderosae (mountain pine beetle)
Lineage: Eukaryota; Metazoa; Arthropoda; Insecta; Coleoptera; Curculionidae
Exons: 3
Source: RefSeq, a predicted model, not a curated record
UCAAAUUUGGAAAAAAUUAUCUCUUUUUCUCAAAUACUUAGUCUUCUGUUGAUGCAUUUGCAACUUUUUUUAUUCAAAGUUGGAGAUCGAGCCGGUGCUUUCAUAUCUGAAAACAACUGGUUUACAAAUAUGAACUUCAAUUAAUCUUUAUGAUCUAUUAAGAUAUAUGAUAUGAUAUGAUAUUUUAAGAUUUAUGUAUAAGAUAUUCCCAAAGUGACUUUCUGCUCUUGUGCUGGGAUGUUGUAAUUCGAAUAAGAAAUUGUAACAACAAAACGUUGGCAUAUGUUAAUUAUUGGGUCCCAAUAUAUUGGUUUCAAAUUGAAAACCAGUAUAUUUGUUGAGCUGCACGGUACAUAUCUACAUGCAAUACAUUUCGCCCAUGAAUAAUUGCAUAUAAGUACAUAAAAUGUCAGACGGUAAGUAGAUGAAUUUCAAUUGAUGCACACGCUUUAGCUUUGGAUGUUGGUAAAUUAGUUUUCUGAUGUGCUGCGUCAUGAAGGAGAGUAGAACGAUGCAGCUAUUUAAUGAUAGCAGCGGUCGAGAAUAACAGACUGAUACUUAAAGGAGAUUGCCUGGUGUUUACUGCGCACUCUGUUAUUUGGCGAUAUAACAAUAUGCAAUUUCAGUAUAUUUAUGAGCUUCAUUUGUAUCUACAAUUUAAUUGUGUACAAUGUAAGUAUAUAUUAUCAAAGUGCGUUGUUAAUGUUUGAUUACAAAUUUCAGUUGACCUGCAUAGGGUCAGGCUAGACAUCAUACAAAAGAAGUGUUUUUCGAGUUGGGAGCCAGUAAGUACUGGGUUAGAAAAUCCGCUUAAGCAACAUUAGAAAUGAGUGUAUGUGAGAGUAUGUUGAUUAUAUAACCUGGUAUAUUCGAUUUAUUCCAGCUGAUGACGUUAGGUGUAAUACAGGAAGAAGAAGGGUUUCAAUUUCAGCCAAUUAUAGGUUUAGUUCUAAGCCAGCUGCGUCGCACUUUACUACCACACUGUUCAAAUUCCGCUGUAGAUCUUCUAAGCUAGAGACUAACAAAACCGUGUCAUCCGCGAGUUACAUAUGUAGUAUCCGCCGAUACUGCAUGGGAACCGCUGACACAGCAGCCAUCAUCCGCUGGAAGUCAUCAAGGUCCAGCAGUUCACACCUGAACGUAAGAAUUGCUGACAAAAGACUUUAACACAAGUUUACAUUUUUAAGUUCAACAAUAAUUAUAUUCAUUCUUGCUCUAAAUGCUCAGCUAACUAGUUGUAGUACAGAAAUAAACCUAUUUUAAAAAGUCUGUUCGUCGUUUAAUACACGUAAUUUGCGCAGUCGGUAGCAUUGUGCCGUAGUUAUCCGAAUCGUGCGGGAAAAAACUAUGUGGGUUUCUACCCUUAAGUACAAUCCAGAACUUUGGACGACGACAGCAGAGGCCAAGAGCAGAAUCAGGAGAAGAAGCCUGGAGACUACAGAAGAUCAAACUCACUCACCAACGCAA